UCUUCACCCAACUCCCUCCCAUCCUCGAAACCCUACCGCGGCUACUCUCCUCCACGCAAUGCAGAGUCGCCCCUUCAAACAGCCGAUCACGGGCAGAUCUUCCUCGUCUUCGUCUUCUCCUCCCUAUCAGAUUCGACCGACAUCAUUUCCCCCAAUUCAGACGAACCAUAAUUUCCCAAAAUCCCCAAACUCCAGCCUUUACAUCGCGGCAAAUUUCAGACCUUUAACCGCAAGAAGCUUUCCAGGAAGAAGGGGGGGACUUUGCGAGGGCUCUGGGUAAGUGCUCUGGGGGAUUCUUCUCCGUCCAUUACUCUGCAACUGUUACUGGCAGAGCAUAGCCCAGCCAUGCCGCCGCCGCUGCCGCCUUCUCCCGGCGACUUCUUGGGCAUUUUCGAGGGAUCCACAAUGUUCUGUCCUUAAUUUAGCUUCUCUGUAAAGAAUGUGUAAUCAUUUUUUUCCUCGACAGAUGUUCUGUAGUAUUUCGUAAAGAAUGCAAGCUCGAAAACAAAAAGCAAGGGAGCAAGAGCAACUCAGUGACACGACUCUGAGCUGAAAGAAAAUGGGAAUGCAUCGAAAAUUUCUCACAAA
This is a non-coding RNA of Punica granatum (pomegranate), 588 nucleotides long. The record is from RefSeq and is a predicted model, not a curated record. NCBI's taxonomy places the organism in Eukaryota, Viridiplantae, Streptophyta, Magnoliopsida, Myrtales, Lythraceae.